This 714-nucleotide long non-coding RNA is filed under the name Bos taurus (domestic cattle). Its description in RNAcentral is "long non-coding RNA NONBTAT006231". The record is from RNAcentral. Lineage: Eukaryota; Metazoa; Chordata; Mammalia; Artiodactyla; Bovidae.
AAUUAAUCUUAAGUCCCUUCCUCUAGCAUUCCCUGAAUCAUGAUUAGUUAUAAGUUCAGAUAAAGGUGGGAAAGGAUGACAUAGCACUCACCCGUUGGUAAAAUUUGUUAGCAAAAACCAAGAUACUGAGUUGGUUCAUAUCUGCCUCUGAUGUGGUUAUUUGUGAUGGAAGGAGUUUCCUUCCUUUAAUGUUUAUUUAAUUUUUAUAUGAUGUCCUUCAACAAGUGAAUUUCACUGAAAGCAAGCUUCUUGUCUCAAAGUAUUUUAAAAAAUUAAUGUACCCUGGAUUUAUAUAAAGUGAAUUUAUGAAAAUAUAUAAUUUUAGGUUAAAGAAGACUAAGCCCACAUGUACUGUGACACCACUUCAGGAGAAAUCAAAAGGUAAGCUGGAUCAUCUUUUUCUCCUACGACUUGUAGGUUCUGGCUUCAGCGAUCCUCUCGCUGGAGCAUCAUCUCAGUACUUACAGAGACUUUCCAACAUGGCCGUUUUGGAGUAUGACACCAUUCGUCAAGAAACAAGCAAAAAAUCUAAAAAGAGCAAGAAACGAGAGCUUCGAGACUGCUGAUUAUCAUACACUAUGAUGCUUUCUUCACUGACUUUUAAAGUUUAUAUUUUUCCUUUCUUUUCUUUUUUGAUAUGUGAUAUGAUGUGCAAUGAUUUACAUAAAAAUGGAAAUGUAAAUAGGAAAUAAAUGUUUUCUGUUAUAUAUGAAA